Non-coding RNA from Whalleya microplaca, 105 nucleotides. The record is from the annotation of a GenBank genome assembly. NCBI's taxonomy places the organism in Eukaryota, Fungi, Ascomycota, Sordariomycetes, Xylariales, Xylariaceae.
GGUCCCAUGGUGCAGUAGUUAGCACGUUGCUCUUAUACGUCUUUCCGAAGGAAAUUUGUAUGACAUGCCAUGCAAAGGUCGUGGGUGCAAUCCCCACUGGGACCA